This 835-nucleotide long non-coding RNA is filed under the name Mus spicilegus (steppe mouse). RNAcentral's name for it is "lncRNA (ENSMSIG00000002582.1)". The record is from RNAcentral. Lineage: Eukaryota; Metazoa; Chordata; Mammalia; Rodentia; Muridae.
UUCAGCUCUUCUCUGAUCCACAUCUCCAAGCUAGCUGGAGAAGCCAGAGAAAUACCUCAGUUUCUCGACCACUCCCCACCCCUCAACUGGCAGAUGGAAGCUGGGAAUUGCUCUGAUUCCAGGCCUUUCUUUCAGGUGCGCACUGUGGGCAAUAACGGGUUAAUCCGCCCGCACACCCCGAGAACCUGCCGAACCUCACUAGAGAUAUAAUUACAGAGAAUCACUGCUCUGGCCUUCUGGGAAGGGUUUUUGUCAGAAGUUGCCUGGGAUACCUGUGACCCUGUCGCUUCAAAGCAUCGGCCUCCUCAUUUGAACACAGGCACUGAAGGAUCUCAGAUAAAAUGAUAACCUGUUCCAUUUUUGCAUCGAAGCAACUCACCCGGGACAGGUACCAAUGAGCCAAGACCCGCCAUGGGCAAAGAAAACUCAGGACGGUCAACCUGGAAGGAACCCUUCCUCCCAUGAGCUUCCAGAAUGGUGUGCAGUGUUCGGGACUUAGAAUGUACUCAGCAAACACUUGUGGAAACCCGGGUUUUCCAGCACUUACACCAAGCUUCGUUUCUAUCAUCUCAAAAUAGGAAAAUUCAAGGAGAGAGACUCAAUGCAUCUUCAGCAGGAGCCCUUCAGAUGACUGUGCCACCAAAGCUGCGAUUACCCCGAGAGGACAGCUCCAGCUUUGUGAGCUAUUCUGAGUACCACAGGCUCUCCCUCUCUGGUCACCCUAACCACUUUUGAGAGUCAUACAACCCUUACCAUUGGGUCCAUGAGCCAGCUGGGUGUCUGGCAAAGAGGUAGGGGAAAGCUAACAGACAGGAGAGAGGAGGAAGUGGGGGGG